CAGUUCCAAUGUAUCUGUAAAUGCAUGCUUUGGAAAAGAGAUGUUGGAGGAAGGGCUGCUAGUGUCUGUCUCAUUUCUGUCCUAAGGGUCCUAAAGGAAAUAAAGGAGAAAAUGGCAGCCCAGGACUCCCUGGCUUCAUAGGACCCCGAGGACCACCUGGAGAACCGGGAGAAAAAGGCUCUCCUGGAAAAGAGGGUGCACCAGGAAAACCGGGUGAAAUUGGCUCCAAAGGAGAGAGGGGAGAGCCUGGCACCAAAGGCGAAAAAGGCCCUCAAGGAGAAAAAGGCCCUCCAGGUGAUCCUGGGAUACCUGGUC
Long non-coding RNA from Calidris pygmaea (Spoon-billed sandpiper), 315 nucleotides. The record is from Ensembl. Lineage: Eukaryota; Metazoa; Chordata; Aves; Charadriiformes; Scolopacidae.